AGAAACUUUUCGUUGCGGUGGUGGUAUUGGAAAAAAUGUGUAAAUAUAAUUCCAUCUUCCCCUCAUCCAUCUCGUCACGGAUUCGUUUUGCGAGCGCGUUAAUCCCCCCGGACCACGAUUCGAUUUGUGCUGGAACAAUGGACUCACGGACGGACGGACGAACGGGAGACAACAACCCGACCCACAGCUAGCGAUAGAUAUAUGUAUGGGCGGGGCAGAAAGUACGUCAUCAGAAAAGGCGGAAAAUUUGUGGUGCUGCCAGGGGAUGACAGCCUUCAGAGGGAAACUUUCCGCUGAUGGAUUUAUAGACUCCGACCCAACUAAACCGAUCCGCCUUCCUACCUCCACCAACAAACUCGCAGGAAAAACUUUUACAAAAAAAACUUGACAACAAGAGACGACGAAGAGCGAGAGGGUAUGAGUUACGGGGAGUGUGCGGCAAAAAUGUUGGAUUCUACAAGUGAAAAGGGGGGGAUGAGAAGGUUUUAUGAGGAGUUUGGUAAAAAUUUUACCAAAAAAUUUUACCGAGAUUAAUUUGUUGGGAAAAAUGUGGAAGCAGAUUUCAGAAGGAAAAUGAGAAUAGGAAGGUUUUGCAAGUUUGGUAAAUUUUUACCGCAAAUCUUACCGGAUUAAUCUUAGGUUACCGGGUAGAUAUUACCGGGUAAAUGUGUUUUUAUUUAACAAAAAGUUGCAAAAUUAGAAAUAUUGUUUACCAUGAACAUGAAAUUAAGUCUUUUGGUAACAGAAUAAAAUUUUAGUUCCCCGGUAAAAUUUGGUAAAUUACCAAUUUUUACCAAACAAACUUUCGAACAAUUUCCUCUCGGUAACAAUGUUCUCCUCAGUAUCAAACUUCCCUAAAAAAGUGGUAAAAAUUUCAACUUUCUCAACUCUUUACCGGAUCGCAAUUUACCAGCCUGACUACCAAAAGCUACCACAUCUCAUCCGUACGCCCCUCAAGCAACUUACACCGCAACAGUUCUGUUGUUAACCAUCAAGUAACAGAAAAGAAUUGUUGGACGGAUUUCUUUUCUAUAUAUUUUUUAUAUUUCAUGUAAUUCCACCACCUCGACAAGAACGCAAACCUUGUUCCCACCUCGUAAUUAAGUUGUAACCCUGCUUUUUUCUCCUGCUCCGUCUCCUCCAUUACAUAUUCCGAGAAUGCACAUUACAAACAUUUUCUCCCUCUCGAGUUACUUACAAACGUAAUAACGGGACGUGAUAAGCUGUCAUUUUUGUAACCUCAUAAUUUUAACAGCAAUUUUCAUAAAUAAAAUUGUGUAAAAACGAAAUAAAAAUUUAUAAAUUUUCUUUAAUUCAUAAUCCAUAAUUUUAAACACUGUUCUAAGCACAUAAGCUUGGUUAAAAUACUUAAAGACAAUGCGUUUAUAAUAAAUAUUAAUAUUACAACUCGUAAAACUACGAAAAUUUCAGAAAUAUACUAAGAUUAUCAGAACCACUGAAUUUAUUCGUAAUC
This is a long non-coding RNA of Folsomia candida, 1474 nucleotides long. RefSeq lists it as uncharacterized. The transcript is spliced from 3 exons. Lineage: Eukaryota; Metazoa; Arthropoda; Collembola; Entomobryomorpha; Isotomidae. The record is from RefSeq and is a predicted model, not a curated record.